This 528-nucleotide ribosomal RNA is filed under the name Gonatodes caudiscutatus (shieldhead gecko). Its description in RNAcentral is "partial large subunit ribosomal RNA". The record is from RNAcentral. Lineage: Eukaryota; Metazoa; Chordata; Lepidosauria; Squamata; Sphaerodactylidae.
AAUGAAGCCCUCUUUGUUUUUUGACUUCGGUUGUUGAGCCUUUCCUAAUUUUUUUUCUCCCGGUUUUGAACUCUGGAUCACAGUAGGGCCCCUUUAAUCUUUGAAACWAAAAGAAAACCCUGGGCAGCGGGGUGCGSCAACCCUGAGGGUUUCUKGUCCYMAUUUUAGUUUGCUCAAUGAACUUGAUCUUUCAGUACAAAAGCUGAAAUACUCCCAUAAGACGAGAAGACUCUGUGGAGCUUAAGUCACAGCACWACUACCACAUAGCGCCUCCCUUUAGUUGGGGCGACUGCGGAACAAAACACAACUUCCYUGCCACACAUUAAACCCCGCAACGACACACAUGUCACUGCACCCCACACCACGACCCCAGUACUACUGACUAACGAACCAAGUUACCCCAGGGAUAACAGCGCUAUCCUCUUCUAGAGCCCCUAUCGCCAAGAGGGUUUACGACCUCGAUGUUGGAUCAGGACCUCCUGGUGGUGCAGCCGCUACCAAGGGUUCUUUUGUUCAACGAUUAAGGUC